GUGGAAAACAACGUUGACAGUGAUGGUGACUUUGAGUUUAUAUUUGGCGAACCAAUCGACAGUAAUGACAUCGAUAAGGAACUUCAAAUUUGUGUUCCCAAAUCAACUAAGUAUAAGAACGACUGGGCUGUUGCAGUGUUUUCCGGAUGCCAAGAGGAGAGACGUCAAAGAGCUAUGAAAUACAACUUGGAUCUUCCGAAGCUGUACUUGGCGGAAUGUAUAUGUGGAUGAACAAAUGAUUUGCGAAAUGACGGGUCACAAAAGUGAAGCUGUCCAGUCAUACAAACAUACUUCAGAUGUGCAGAAGUCGACUUUGUCUGAUAUCCUUACCUCAGCGCCAAAACGUUUGAUGAGUGAAAUCAAAACUAUGACAGCUACGGAUACAGAAAAGACGACUGCCGAUUCAGGAAACGACGUUGGAUCCACGAAAUCGACGACGAAGACGACAGUCGUCUUCAAUUUCAAUAUUUCUUAAAAUGUCAUUGAAAGAAAUAAAACCACUGUCUCUGCUUGA
Haliotis rubra (blacklip abalone) is the source of this 514-nucleotide long non-coding RNA. RefSeq lists it as uncharacterized. The transcript is spliced from 2 exons. Lineage: Eukaryota; Metazoa; Mollusca; Gastropoda; Lepetellida; Haliotidae. The record is from RefSeq and is a predicted model, not a curated record.